This 507-nucleotide ribosomal RNA is filed under the name uncultured bacterium. RNAcentral's name for it is "partial 16S ribosomal RNA". The record is from RNAcentral.
GGAGUUAGCCGGUGCUUCUUCUGUGAGUGAUGUCCUUCCUGCCGGCUAUUAACCCGCAGGCCUUCUUCCUCACUGAAAGUGCUUUACAACCCGAAGGCCUUCUUCACACACGCGGCAUGGCUGGAUCAGGGUUGCCCCCAUUGUCCAAUAUUCCCCACUGCUGCCUCCCGUAGGAGUCUGGGCCGUGUCUCAGUCCCAGUGUGGCUGAUCAUCCUCUCAGACCAGCUACGGAUCGUCGCCUUGGUGAGCCGUUACCUCACCAACCAGCUAAUCCGACAUAGGCUCAUCCGAUAGCGCGAGGCCCGAAGGUCCCCCGCUUUCCCCCGUAGGGCGUAUGCGGUAUUAGCCUGGGUUUCCCCAGGUUAUCCCCCACUACCGGGCAGAUUCCUAUGCAUUACUCACCCGUCCGCCGCUCGCCACCAGGGAGCAAGCUCCCCGUGCUGCCGCUCGACUUGCAUGUGUUAGGCCUGCCGCCAGCGUUCAAUCUGAGCCAUAAUCAACUACUGA